UUGCAAAUGAUGCUUAACCUGAAAAAUCACAUUGCUACUAUGAGCUUUUAAACGCUGAGGCAAA
RNAcentral lists this small nucleolar RNA (64 nucleotides) under Nestor notabilis (Kea). The record is from RNAcentral. Lineage: Eukaryota; Metazoa; Chordata; Aves; Psittaciformes; Psittacidae.